This 2793-nucleotide unclassified non-coding RNA is filed under the name Hevea brasiliensis (rubber tree). The record is from RNAcentral. Lineage: Eukaryota; Viridiplantae; Streptophyta; Magnoliopsida; Malpighiales; Euphorbiaceae.
GUCUCCGCAUAUUUCUCUUUCUACAAGUGGAGGGUCCACUGUCACCUAUGCAUUUUUGAUGGAGAAUUUUCAUUUGCUAUUCUUUAACUUUGCUUAGAAUUUCAGAAAACAAGUAGGGGAGAAGUGGAUUCUGCUCAUGGGUACUAGAUUUAUCUACAGUAUCAAAACUCAGUUUGAUUUUGUUAAUAAUACAGAUCUUGUAAACGGUUUUGUGUAUGAUAAUAUGUAUAGGGUCGUUAGUUUUUUCUGGGGUUUUGUCUGCAACUACACUUUUCAUCUGUUUGGUUCGUUGUUCAGACACAUCUUCAGAUUUCAGAAGGGAAAUUUUGUGAACAAGUUUGAAUCCAAUUCUAAUGAGGUUUAUCAUCAACAAGAAGAUGAUCAAUUUGGUUCAAGUUGCUCUCAGGAUUCAGAGACAGAUAAAAGCGAUGCAGAAGAAGAGAAUUCUGUUGUUAUGGAGAGUGCCUUGUCGGCAAGCACUAAUAGGUAUGAGUUCUUGGCUGGGAAAGGCAUAUGUGGAUUCUUGGAAGAACCAAGAACCUUGAGCUUUACUGUCCAUGAAGUGUUCCUGGAUUCAAAUAAUGAUGAAAUUUUGAACACUUCAAUUUUUGAUAUCAGACGCUCCACUGACGAGGAAUUCCAAGACGUUGGACUAGAUGCAGAGGCAGCCGAUAAAGCAGAGAAAUCAGGGGCCUUGGUCAAAAGUUUUGUCGUUGACGAAGCUUCAGAAAAGAAACAGGAACAAGAAACAUUGAUGGGAGAGAAGAAUUCUGAUGAAGAAAAUUUAACUUUUGAUGAUGGAGCCACUGUCGACAGGGGAUUUGGAAAUCAUGAAUUAGAUACGGAGAAAACAGAGAACUCGAUCACAAGUUCGGUCAUUGAAGAGGCAGAGAAGCAAGAACUGGAAACAUCCACCGAGGAAAAGAUUUCUGAUAACCUAGAGACGGGUGGUUUAGACCAUAGCUCUGAACUUUCGGUUAAUAGAACUGUCGGUGAAGUAUUUGAAUCUGAAAGUCUCAUUUUCAUCUAUGAGGAGAAGAUGGAACAUAGUAGAGAAGCAGAAGGAGUUGGACCUCAAAGUUGCAUGUCGUUGGAUGAGAAGGCAGAACAUAACAGAGAACUGGAAGCUAUUUUAAUGAGAGACCAAUCCAUUGAUUCAGAUGAUGAAUAUAUAGAAUUACAACCCCAGAAACAGAAUUCAAUUUUAUUGGAUGUGGAAAUAUUGUCUACAGAAGAUUUAAGCAAUGUUGAUGACAGAGAAGAAGAGCAAGAACUAGUCCAUGAAAAGGCAGAACCAAAAUUUGAAGAAUCUAGCUUCCAGGAGCAAAAGUACUCUGAUUCACCUGUCCAAAUCGAAGCAGAUUACAUGUUUGAGCACCAGGACAUAAUAGAACAGCUAAAAAUGGAGCUGAAACUAGCAAGAACUGGGGGUCUUCCAACAAUUCUUGAAGAAUCAGAAUCUGAAGAAUUGGAGACUCCGAAGACGGUACAAAAGCUAAAGCCAAUGAAGAUUGAAGACCAAAAAUUUGAGCGCAAAGAUCUCCUGGAUGGGAUUCACAAGGUUUACAAGAGCUACUCGGACAAAAUGCGAAAAUUGGAGAUCUUGAACUUCCAGACCAUGCACUCACUUGGCUUACUGCAGAUGAAAGAGACAGUUCAGUUUCAGACAGCUCGGAAAUCUUCUGUUACAGCUGUUAUCUCUCUUCUUUCGCAGAACUUAUGGUUGUGCAAAGGGACGGCGGUGGUUGAUCCAGUGAAGAAGGUGGUUGCAGAUAUGCAUAAUGAUUUUGAAACCAUAUAUGUUGGACAGCUUUGCCUUUCCUGGGAAAUACUCCAAUGGCAAUAUAGGAAAGCUCAAGAAUUGCAGAAAUAUGACUCUCAAGGAUCCCAUCAAUAUAAUCAAGUAGCUGGUGAGUUUCAGUUAUUUCAAGUCCUGAUACAAAGGUUUCUGGAGAAUGAGCAAUUUCAAGGUCCCAGGGUCGAGAAUUAUGUCAAGAGCAGAUGUGUCCUUCGUAGUCUUCUUCAAGUUCCUCUAGUUAGAGGUAACGACAAUUGACAAAUCAAUCAUUUGAACCAUCAUAAACCAUAUUCAACUCUCUGUACUUGAACUGCAGAUGAUAGUUUCAAGGACAAGGGAAAAAGAGGAGAUGACAAUGAAGGUGCAAUUACAAGCCAAAUGCUAAUAGAAACAAUGGAGCAAUCAAUGCUGGUUUUCUGGGAAUUCCUUCGUGCCAACAAAGAUGAAAGCAGUGUGAUCUUGCAGGGUCAUCAACAAGCCCAUAUUAAUCUCCAAGAACCUGUAGAUUUAGAGCUGUUAACAGAUAUUCGAUCCGAUUUUCAGAAGAAGGAUAAAAAGCUUAAAGACAUAUUGAGAAGUGGAAAUUGCAUAGUGAAGAGAUUCAGAAGGCAACAAGAAGAUCGAGUGCAUCAUAUUCACACACUGUUCAUAGCUCAGGUGGAACUGAAAUUGGUUUCUAGAGUUCUAAACAUGUCCAAACUAACAAGAGAUCAAUUGAUAUGGUGUCAUGAAAAAUUAGACAAAAUUAACUUCUGUAAUAGAAAAGUUUUUGUGGAGUCCUCAUUUUUGCUCUUUCCAUGUUGACAUGGUGAGUAGUCAGGAUUGCAACUUUCUUUCUGUAGAUAAAUGCUUUCAGAAGGUUUAAAUAUCAACAUAUACAUGUAAAGUUAUCAUGUCAUACAUACUACUACGGAUUUUUAUUGUUUAGACUCUGUAUAUCAUGAAACCUAAACACGAGGUUAAUGAGACAACUUUUCCCUUUUCUUCAAGCUUAU